This is an RNA transcript of Nasonia vitripennis (jewel wasp), 11591 nucleotides long. It is a transcript of the gene named plasma membrane calcium-transporting ATPase 1, with no coding region annotated. The record is from RefSeq and is a predicted model, not a curated record. NCBI's taxonomy places the organism in Eukaryota, Metazoa, Arthropoda, Insecta, Hymenoptera, Pteromalidae. The transcript is spliced from 19 exons.
GCAGAGCCGUCGUAGAGAGAGCGCGCGCGUGCAGUGCAGCGAGAGUGAGAGAGAGAGAGAGAGAGCAAGCGAGAUUCCACCUCGCCUGGGGAUCGGAGUGUGAGUUGCACAGUGCGGAUCGACUCUCCUCUGCAGUCGUCGCUUUCUCGGCUGGUGCGACAGUGUCGUUUUCGGUCGCGUGCACGCGCGUGUCGCCGAGCAGAAAGAGAGAGAGAGAGAGAGAGACAGAGAGAGAGAGAGAGAGAGAUGUGCGCGAGGUGAGCAGCAGUGCUGGGAACGACGACGAGCCGGAAGAGCGAGUGCGACAGCGCCACGACGAGGAGAACGACGAGGACGACGAGGACGACGCCGAGGACGACGACGAGGAGCACGUCUAGGGCGACGCGAAGCAGGCGCAGACGAGGAAGGAGACGGCUCGAGCCUAUUUAUAGCCGCCGCUCUAGCUGCUCGUCGCAGGCCAGUCUCGCCGCGAGAGCCGCUAGCGGUGCUGCUCCUCAGCGACGACCGAGUCCGCAGUGUCGCCGCGAGGAAAGCGCCUGAGACGAGGCCGAGUCCGAGGUCGGGAGGAGGCCAGCCGGAGAAGAGGAGGCGAGGAGUGACGGGGGCCAUGGAGCCGCCGCUCCUCGGCAGCUCGGCAACGUCUUCGCUGCGCGCGCGUUACUCCGGCCGCAUGUGACGACGACCGCGGCGGCAUAGUGAGAGAGACGCAGCCUCGCAGACGCCGACCAGUCGGCAGCUCGUAGCUGACUGUGGGACCUCCAGUUCGGGAGGUAGGACGAGGGAGGCGGCGCGGCGGGCGGCGGAGGCAGGAGGCGGCGGCGGGCGCGGCAGCGUGGAAGCAUCGGCGGCGGCGGCGGCAGCGCGGCGACUGCGCUCCGGCGGCGCUCCGGUGCCGGUGGCCCCACUACAGCAACAGCGACGUAGUUCCCGGCCAUCAUCGUCAUCACCACUACCACCAUCCUCAUCAUCGCAGUCCAGCAGCAGCAGCAGCACCACCACCAACAACAACAACAACAACAACACUACCAGCGGCAGCACAAUAUCAGCAGUAGUAGUAGCGGCGGCGGCGGCGGCGGCGGCGGCAGCAGCGGCAGCAGCACCAUCGCAGCGCUGCGAUCAGUCCGGUGCAGGCAGCAGCAGCAGCAACAGCAGCGCUGACGAAGACGACGGCGGCGACGGCGGCGGUUACCUCCUCCUCGCGGCGCGACCACGGCUGCUGAGUCGGCGGCCGCUCGACGCCCUCUUCUUCUCCUCAUCAGCAGGGCUCAGCUCCGGAACGGCUCCUGUCCUACGACGGCAGCGGCCACGCCACCGCGGCUCCGUCUUCGGCUUCUUCUCCCGGCCCAGCUCGCUGCUCGGCCAGUCUUGGCAGUUAGCUAGACAGAGACAGAGAGCGUGAGCCAGAGCGAGACAGACAGACAGCCAGAGAGAGAGAGGGAGAGAGAGAGAGAGAGAGAGAGAGCGAGAGACAGUGUGCGCGAGUGUGUUGUACAGUUCUCUCCGUGUGUGUGCGCGCGCGGUGCACUAACCGCCGGCCCCUGCUCGGCUAGCUGCUCUACUCAGCUGCUCCGCAGUCAUGGCGACCAUCGACGGCCGACCGGCCCAGUACGGGCUCACCCUCAAGCAGCUCCGGGAGCUCAUGGAGCUCCGGGGCCGCGAGGGGGUCACCAAGCUCAACACCUACGGCGGCGUCCAGGAGGUCUGCAAGAAGCUCUACACUUCGCCCAGCGAAGGCCUCAGUGGUUCGGCAGCAGACAUCCAGCACAGGCGAGACACCUUUGGUUCCAACAUGAUUCCCCCGAAACCACCAAAGACCUUUCUCACGCUGGUAUGGGAGGCACUGCAAGAUGUGACGUUAAUCAUCCUGGAGAUAGCCGCUCUAGUAUCUCUGGGUCUUAGCUUCUACCAUCCUUCUGAUGAAAAUGAGGAAGGAGUUUUAAUAGAAGACGAUGAAGCGAAAUAUGGCUGGAUUGAAGGUCUGGCUAUCCUGAUCUCGGUUAUUGUUGUCGUUUUGGUAACUGCCUUCAACGAUUAUUCGAAAGAAAGGCAAUUCCGUGGCCUGCAGAACAGGAUAGAAGGAGAGCACAAGUUCUCCGUCAUUCGGCAGGGUGAGGUCAAACAGAUCUCAGUCUCCGACAUAGUUGUCGGUGACAUAUGUCAGAUAAAAUAUGGCGACUUGCUGCCAGCCGAUGGUAUCCUCAUUCAAAGCAAUGAUCUCAAAAUAGACGAGUCCAGUUUAACUGGAGAGUCAGAUCAUGUGAAAAAGGGCGAGGCUUUCGAUCCUAUGGUACUUUCGGGAACUCACGUCAUGGAAGGUUCGGGCAAGAUGCUGGUCACUGCCGUCGGCGUGAAUUCUCAGGCGGGCAUCAUCUUCACUCUCUUGGGUGCAGCUGUCGAUCAGCAGGAGCAAGAGAUCAAGAAGAUGAAGAAAGAGGCUAAAAAGCAGCGGAAGAAGAAGUCGCUAUCAGGCGACGAAGCUGGAGAAAUCGGCAAUAGCCACGCGGUGAGCAAGCAGCACUCGGUCGACGGGGAGAACCACCACGGCGGAGGCACCAGCAAGCCCGAGCACGAGGGCAAGAAGGAGAAGAGCGUGCUUCAGGCAAAGCUGACCAAGCUCGCGAUCCAGAUCGGCUACGCUGGCUCGACCAUCGCCGUGCUCACCGUCAUCAUCCUCGUCAUCCAGUUCUGCGUGACGACCUUCUACAUCCAGGGCAAGAUUUGGAAGAACACGUACGCCGGCGAGCUCGUGCGCCACUUCAUCAUUGGUGUGACGGUACUCGUCGUCGCGGUGCCCGAGGGCUUGCCCCUCGCCGUCACCCUCUCCCUCGCCUACUCCGUCAAGAAAAUGAUGAAGGACAACAACCUGGUGCGUCACUUGGACGCCUGUGAGACGAUGGGCAAUGCCACUGCCAUCUGCUCGGACAAGACGGGCACGCUGACGACGAAUCGCAUGACGGUCGUCAACUCAUAUAUUUGCGAGAAGCUGAGCAAGACCGUACCGAACUUCUCGGACAUACCGAGCCACGUGGGCCAACUGCUCAUCCAGGCGGUAUCCAUCAACUCGGCGUACACGUCGCGCAUCAUGCCCUCGCAAGACCCGACCGAGCUGGCGAUGCAGGUCGGCAACAAAACCGAAUGUGCCUUACUUGGAUUCGUGAUCGCCCUGGGCAAAAGUUAUCAGACAGUGCGCGACGAUAACCCCGAGGAGACGUUUACGCGAGUCUACACGUUCAACAGCGUUCGCAAGAGCAUGUCGACCGUCAUCCCAAGGCAGGGCGGUGGCUACAGGCUCUUCACCAAGGGCGCUUCCGAAAUCAUCAUGAAGAAAUGUGCCUUUAUUUACGGUCGCGACGGAAACCUGGAAAAGUUCACCCGGGACAUGCAGGAUCGGCUGGUGAAGAACGUGAUCGAGCCGAUGGCGUGCGACGGCCUCCGGACGAUCUCGAUCGCUUACCGGGACUUCGUGCCAGGCAAGGCCGACAUCAAUCAGGUCCACAUUGAUAACGAGCCCAACUGGGAGGACGAGGAGAACAUCGUCGCCAAUCUCACCUGCCUGGGCAUCGUCGGUAUCGAGGAUCCGGUCAGGCCGGAGGUCCCCGACGCCAUCAAAAAGUGCCAGAAGGCCGGUAUCACCGUGCGAAUGGUCACCGGUGACAACGUCAAUACUGCCAGGUCAAUCGCAUUGAAGUGUGGCAUCCUGAAGCCAAGCGAAGACUUCCUGAUCCUGGAGGGUAAAGAGUUCAACAAGCGAAUCCGCGACUCUCACGGCGAGGUUCAGCAGCAUCUACUGGACAAAGUCUGGCCCAAGUUGCGCGUACUGGCGCGCUCCUCGCCCACGGACAAGUACACCCUUGUCAAGGGUAUUAUCGACAGCAAGGCCUCGGCGAAUCGCGAGGUCGUAGCCGUCACGGGCGACGGCACAAACGAUGGCCCCGCCCUGAAAAAGGCCGACGUCGGCUUCGCCAUGGGCAUAGCCGGCACGGAUGUAGCGAAAGAGGCCUCUGACAUCAUCCUUACGGACGACAACUUCUCGUCGAUUGUCAAGGCCGUAAUGUGGGGCAGGAACGUGUACGACAGUAUCGCCAAGUUCCUGCAGUUCCAGCUGACCGUGAACGUAGUCGCGGUCAUUGUCGCGUUCAUCGGUGCCUGCGCCGUGCAGGACUCGCCGCUCAAAGCUGUGCAGAUGUUGUGGGUGAACUUGAUUAUGGACACCCUCGCCUCGCUCGCGUUAGCCACGGAAAUGCCCACGCCCGAUCUUCUGCUGAGAAAGCCCUACGGUAGAACGAAACCCCUCAUCUCCAGGACGAUGAUGAAGAACAUUCUUGGUCAAGCCGUUUAUCAGUUGACUGUCAUUUUUAUGCUUCUCUUCGUUGGGGACAAAAUGCUCGACAUUCCCUCUGGCCGAGGAGUAGCGGCAGCCGGUGGUGGACCCACUCAGCACUUCACCAUCAUCUUCAAUACGUUUGUCAUGAUGACGCUGUUCAACGAAUUCAACGCCAGAAAGAUUCAUGGCCAGCGAAACGUCUUCCAGGGAAUAUUUACCAACCCCAUCUUCUAUUCCAUUUGGAUUGGCACCUGCUUAUCGCAAGUGUUUAUUAUCCAGUAUGGUAAGAUGGCGUUCAGCACAAAAGCUUUAACUCUAGAACAGUGGAUGUGGUGUCUAUUCUUUGGGUUCGGCACUCUGCUGUGGGGCCAAUUAGUCACGACGAUUCCUACACGCAAGAUACCCAAGAUACUUUCAUGGGGCCGCGGCCAGCCGGAUGAUAUCGGCGCUAUCAAUUUGGGAGACGAGAAAUUCGACCCAGACUCGGAUAAAAAGCCUCGCGCCGGACAAAUUUUGUGGAUCCGUGGUCUGACACGACUGCAGACUCAGACGAGCAAUAGAACUCUGGUGCAGAAUGUAUCUGUGACAGGCAGAUCCCCCUCUCAGGAUUACUAUAUGCCAGUGGAACCCAUUCGAGAGACUGAGGUAUAAACAUGGCGGCAGUCUUACGUUACCCGCCGCCAGACAAUUCCUGUCGGAGUACAAACAAAUCCGCGUAGUGAACGCAUUUCGACAGGGCCUGGACUCGCGCUACGGCGAGCACAGCAACACGACGAAUCUCGCCGAGGUGUUGAGGAAGCAGUCCUCCCUGAACAAGCGGCUCUCCCAGACGAGCAGCAUCGAUUACGCGGACAAUCUGCCGGACGAGCUGGCCAUCCCCGAAAUCGACGUCGAGCGACUCUCCAGCCACAGCCACACCGAGACGGCCGUCUAAGCGAGCCACGACUCAACUGCCUCAUUGCAGCAUUAUUAAUAGCAGCCCAAGCCGCAUCAUCAGCAGCAGCAGCAGCAGCAGCAGCUCCCAAGAUAUGCGAGAUGGGAAAAAGCAGCAGCAGCAGCAGCAGCAGCAGCAGCCCCCGGCGAUAUUGUGUGCGCGAGCAGCAGCAGCUCAGAGACUGCUCUGUCUCUCUGUGCAGCAGAGACUAUUAUAUUAUUGAAAUACUCGUGCGCGGAUGGGCGAGCGCGCGCGCGGGCUCGACGCUCUCGCACCUCUCGUGUACCCCCCUCGCAUACGCUUAGAUUUACGCUAAUGGUGCGUUAUACCUCACGCGCACAGUGAGUGAUAUACACAUACACCCACUUCUUCUCAUUAUAUACAUUAAGGGGGAGGGGGCGAGGGCCGAGCAGGGGGAGAGUCCAGCUCGCGCGUCCUGCACGCGUCUCCGUGUUCCGUAUGCAUGUAUGUGUGGGUGCGUGUAUAUGCCGUGCACACAACGUCCGUCGUGUACAGGCCGUGUACCGGAGCCGGGGCGUCUCCGCUGGUGUGUGAGCUCGCGCGCGCCGAUCGCGCUCCUCUCUCUCUGAUGGCGAUACAGCCUGACACAUAUACACGUACACGUACACACACACACACAGCUGAGUUGUUGUCGUCGUCGUCGUUGUUGUUGUUGUUCUGUAUAACACGAGUACGGGAGAGAGAGAGAGAGAGAGAGAGAGAGAGAGAGAGAGAGAGAGAGAGUUCUAUAAUGGAAAGGCGCGCGCGCGAGAGCCGAUGAUGAUAACGAUGAAUUUUAAGAGAAACAAGAAGAAAAAACUAUAAGAGAGUUAAACGAGAAAAUGCGGAAAGCAGAAAAAAUGUUUAAAAAAAAUAAAUAAAUAAAAUAAAGUAAAUAAUAAGAUAAUUCGCUAACGAGAGAGGAAAAAAAUAGAGAGUGUGCACGCUUCUUGCCAUUAAACGGGCCCCCUAGCCCCCAAAUCCGUGGAAUAUAUAUAUGUAUAUGUCCGAGCGAGCGAGAGAGGGAGAGAUGUGCUGAGACGCGCGAUUGAUCGAUUGUCUGACUGUCGACAGAGUGAUUGUGAGCGAGAGAGUUAAACAAAUUCAACGGAAUGCGCGCCUCGUUCUUAUUAAGUGUAGGUUGAUUAAAGAUUAAACAAGAUUAAAUAAGUAAAAUUUAAAGUACGCGCGUUAUACUGUGUGACUGUGAGCGCGCGCGCGCGAUUAUACAUACAUAAAUGAGAAAAAAAAACACACCCAUCUACAUAGCGGGAGAAGUGAUCGUUAUUAUAUACACUUUUGCAGAGGAAGAGAAAGAGCGAGAGAGGAGAGAGUGCGAGUGAGAGAAAGGGAGCGUAACGAUGUACGACACGCGACGGGAGUUUUCUUGCGUGGUGCGCGCGUUGUAUAGAGGGAGGGGGAUGAGCGAGAUAUUGUAUAAAUACAUAUGUAGGAUAGGAAAAAAACGGUGCGUGAUCUUGAAGACCGUCCUCAAUUCGACUGCGACAGAGACGACGAAGACGACGGACGAGAGCGACGCGACGCCGAACGAUCUGUUACGUAUAGCGAGAGAAAGAGCGGGAUUGUUAUAGUUUAGCGCUAAUGUAGGCUAUAACCGUCGAAGGAGGCGCCGCGCAAACACUGUCUCGUCGCGAUCUGUACAGAGUGAGAGAGAGAGAGAGAGAGAGAGAGAGAGAGAGAGAGAGAGAGAGAGAGAGAGCGAACGAGAGAACGAGAGAAUGUAAAUACUUUGUUAUCGCUGGGGUUUAUCCGCCGCGCGGGUGUGCAGCCGCCGCCGCCGCCGCCGUUGUUGUUGUUCGUCUUGUCCUUUUUUUUUACCGCUGUCGCGCCGAAAUCUUGCUGCCACGCUGUUCCAGCAAUUUUUUUGUACCGCAGUGUAGGAGGAAAGUGGGCGAGCGCGUAAGAGAGAGAGAGAGAGAGAGAGAGAGAGAGAGAGAGAGAGAGAGAGUUUCGACAGAGCAACCGGAAGCGCUUCGUGUUUUUUUACCGUCGCUAUAAAACGAAUGGAGAGAAAGAGAGCACGCGAGCAAGAGGGAUCACGUAUAGCCGUAUAAAUAUGAGAUCCACACGUUUUCCUUUUUCGUAUGUUACAUUACGAAUAUAUAAAUAUGUACAUCCGCAUAAAGUCACACACAUACACAUGCAACACACGCGCGAACGCGUCUAACCGAUAAGCACGUUCGCUCUUCUGUUACGUUCCAAGUGAGAAAGAAUAAAAAUCACGCGCUCGGUGUCUCCAGUAGUAAACGUCCGUGUCCGGUGCGGCGAGAGACCAAGCGGGGGCGCAUUGUUAUAGUGUCGUGUCGUGCGCGCGAGAGCAGACGAAUAAAAAAAACGGGUAGUGUAUACCGAAGUAUAACGCACCACUGCCUUGACCAGCCCCCUCCUAUACUUUUCACCCCCUUCUACCGACCCCACCCUCCCUCACACACACACACACACACACGCGGACGGAGUAAGCGGGAGUAGAGUCCAAGUCGAUCGAUAUCGCUCGCGCGGGACGAACGAGUGACCAUAUAAUAUAGAGUGCAGCUGCGCCUUCUUCGUCGUGCCGCGAGAGAGCUCGAUAUAAUACAUACUUAUACUUGCUCGACGCGAUUGAUCAGCGAGCGCGCGACGUAUGCGUAUAUUAUACUCUUUGUAGAGAACGAGAGAAUGUGAUUCGAGGAUGACGAGGAUGACGAUGAGGAGCGAGAGAGAAUUUAAUAAAAAUUAUUAAUCACACAAUGGUGCUCGGUCUGAAGAUUCCUAAGCCUUGCGAGAUGUAUACAUAAACGUAGUAGCGAUACUUCUCACUCUCACUCUUUCUCUCUCGUUUAACGGGAGAUAAACGACGAAGGGUUUCGUUUUUACUUUUACUUGUUACCCGACGUGAACGACAUCCGUCUCCAAAUGACCACCCUCCAACGACCCCCUCUGUAAUUAUUAUGUCUAAUUCUCUGUUAUCCCUCUAAUACUUCCCGUAUGAUUUUCCUUGUACUAUAUUAUAUAUUGUUGCAACAAAGAUGACGAAAAAAAAAACGUUGAGAAUGAACUAAUCGAGGAAAAUGAAUAUUCAGUAUCUCUCGGUGCAGUUAAUGCAAAACGAGAAUCUUAAGAAUAAUAAUAAAAAAAAACUAGGGAAAUCUCUCCUCGCGGCUUAACACAAAUAUGAUAUAUAUAUAUAUAUCCCUCGCUGGCCCUCGUCAGGGGCGGAUUCCACGAUGUACUUUUCGGCCUUUUACUUUUCUCUUGAAUUAAUUUAAUUUAUUGUAAUUGUAAUCUACAUAUAAAUAUGCUGUUAUUAUAUUGUUUCCUCUGUCCCCCAUAUUAUUAUAUUUUCUUUCUGAAAUCGCGAGUCGAUCCUUAUAUUGCGCAUUGCCAUUAAUGUGUAUAACGAUUGUAUUACUUUUGUUAAUGUAUAAGUUUACUCGUAAUUCUUUUUUGUUAAUGAUUUUACCGUACGCUGACUUAAGUCUGUAUAAUGAUUUUUAGUUUUUACUUCGUUGAUUACAUUCAGUCCCACUUCAUCCUCGUCGCGCAUACACACCUCUAUUAUUAUUAUUAUUAUGAUUAUUAUCAUUAUUAUUAUCAUUACUAUUAUUAUAUAUUAUAAAUAUUAUACAUAAAUGCAAGAAAUUAACCCGCGCGUAAGAAGCGAAAGUUGUCGCGACGACACAAUAUUACGAAGUUCGCGAGAUCGAAAAUACAAAGAUAUAUAUUAUAUAUUUAAAAGUAAUGAAAACAAAACUCCGCUCGACUCUGCUCACUGUAUACUCACUCACCUGCAACCAUCUGUCGCGCGAGCUAUGCCGUAUAUAAAACUUGCGCAUUAUACACACCUCUUAUAUAUACACACACGAGCGAGAGGAACAAAGGAGAGAUUAUAUAAAUGAUACAAACAAUAAAGUGAAGUCACAAAAAACUACCGCAGAAAACUGAUAAACGAUGAAACAAUAUGAGAUGCUAUAUAUGAUGAACAAAAAAAGAUAAGAAUUCGAGGGUGCGUCAAAACCCCCGAACGCUACAAUCCGCCCCUGUGUACCUCGUUUUAUCGCCAAGUGUUUGAAUCCGAAAGCCCUUAUUUGCCUCUACUUUCCAAACCCGACACUCCGUUUGCCCCUUUCGUGUCCUUCCACUCUUGUACCAUGUCCAGGCAAAAACCAACCCUCGAAGAAUCCUCUUUCUCUUUAAAAGUAUAUUAUACAUAAAAGUAAGGAUAUUGUCGAGCGGCCCGAAGAAUCCUCGUUUAACGUCCUAGUCACUCGUUUUGUUUGUACGCAAGAAAAAACAAAAUAUAUAAAUAUAUAUAUAUAUAGCGAUUAAUUGUUGAUUAUUAAUAAUUAAAUAAUUAUAAUUAUACGAUAAUAAGAUGAAAAAAAUAAUGAUUGUAGAUUUACUAAAUAGAAAGUAAAAAAGUGGAUAAAAAAGUGAAGUGCAGAGACGAAGCAAAAAUGAAAUAUAUAUUAAAGGAGAAAAAAUACGAAAUAAUGGAGGUUUUCUAAUGUAUACUCUCUUGUAAAAAAAAAAAAUGCCGCGCCGCUCGGAUAUCGCGCACCUCGACGUUGUAUAAUCGUUUUAAACAAAAAACUGCAGCGUAUUUACAUGAUAACAUUAUAAUUAUUAUUACUACUAUUAUGUUCAUUACUAUUAGAUGAAAAAACGACAAACUUAUAAAUGAAAUGAAAAAAAAUACAAGACACAAGAGGGAGUGUCGCGUUGGUAGAGAAGCCAAGAGGCGCGCGCACGUAUAUUAAAUGAAAAAAUUACUGCAUAAAUAAAGUAAAUAAAUGAAUAAAUAAAAAAGAAAAGAAAAAACGUGUGUACGUGAGCGAGAGCGAAAUCCUGGAGGAAGGCGAGAGACGUCUAAUGCGAUCGAGAGUCGUUCAGAUGACGAGAGAGAUAUGCAGAGCGAAAGAGAGAGAGAGAGAGAGAGAGAGAGAGAGAGAGAGAGAGAGAGAGAGAGAGAGAGAGAGAGAGAUAUGUCAAGGACAAUUUUUUCGGUGUGUGUACUUAAAGCAAACAAAGUAACGACGAGUACUUAAUCGUAUUUAAGCUCGCUCUCACGUGUACGAUAUUUAUUAUUAACAAGUGAGGAAAAAAAGUAUUUAUUCAGAAUUUUUCAAAGCGCGUAUUCUCUCGCACCGUGUAUCGAACUAAAGAAACUUUCUAUUACUGCCGUAUGCCAUUUUUAAAUAGCACCACUGCACAGACACACCCUCCACAGCCACACGUCUACGUACGCAGACACAUUCUACAUACACUCACGUAUACACGAGAAACCCGUUCGAACGCACUAACGAACGACGCGUUGAAAAAAGUGAAGGAAAAUCGUCGCAUAUACAUAUACAAAACCGAGCUCUCAUCUCUCUGUCUCGCAGCGGUUGGGACCAAGCCUCAGCGAUCACUCAAACGAAAAACCGACAACAGCAAACAACACACCUGACAAGUACACAUCACACAAAUAUUAUACACACCUACGCACUCUUUCGCGCUUGCAAAUAUCACUGACAUUCUUCACACCUGUCCCGUGCACAUAAACACCUUUUCUCUUCUUUUACGAUGAAGAACAAGAGGGAAGGAUAAUCGUGCGAUAAAAAGUAGUAUCUCUAUCAUAUUAUUAUAUCUCGGGGAACGCGGAGAAAAGAGAAGAAUUCAAGCUCACAGCUAUUUAUUAUUGUAUCAGAGUAAUCUCAAAACGUAAUGAAGAAAAACCAACACGCUCUUUCGCCUUGGUCUCUCCCUUCCGCGCGGCCUUCAACUUCUUUCCUUCUUUCCUUUCCUCCUCCUCCUCCUCCUCCUCCACCUCUUUUUCUUCUCUUCUCUUUCUACUACUAUAUACUAAAAUUCUCUUCUUAUCUCUUCCGGAGAACGAAGUGUUCCUGCGCGCGCUCGCGACUAUUCGAUCCAACGAUGAUGGACACGGUCGUAUACCAGUUUAACUAGUGUGCGCGGACUCCGUUGUUGUUGACGAUGGUUUUCCUAUACGAUUAAAAUAAAGUAUAAAGAUUUAGCAAAAGAAGAGAAAAAAGAAAAAAAUUAACGUAACGACGACAUACGUAGAAAAUUUAGUUUUGGAAUUUGUACUCGAGAGUCGAGACGGGAGCGCGCGCUCGGAACGAGCUUUUUCGGUGCGCGAAAGGCGAAACGAACUUGCACGCGCUGCUGCGCGACGAAUAAAACUUGACAAAAUGAAACUUUAACCUACGUACGUAAACAGAAAAUACUAUGAAUAAUGAAUUACUUACACACUAAGAGUAUAACGAACGCGAUGAGGAGGAAAAAAUAAAAACUGUCAUAGAAAUUAGUAGCGCAAAAAAAAAAAAUAUAUAA